This is a long non-coding RNA of Rhineura floridana, 1314 nucleotides long. RefSeq lists it as uncharacterized. The record is from RefSeq and is a predicted model, not a curated record. The transcript is spliced from 3 exons. NCBI's taxonomy places the organism in Eukaryota, Metazoa, Chordata, Lepidosauria, Squamata, Rhineuridae.
CAGGGGGAGCCCACACUGCAGCUCUUCCUCACACUGGUGGAAGUGGCCUGGAGAAUAGCUACAGGAUGGGUUCCUGCCACACCUUACGUUGCCCCAGCAAUUUAGGAAGCGGCAGCUUUGCAGUGGCUCCUAUGCUGCCAAAGGGACAGUAAUUGUGGGAGUGGAGCUGCUGGAGAUCUGGGCAUUGACACGGAUGUCAGUGGUUCACACGUUGCUUCUCUACGGAUCAGUGGACCGUUGGCCUGAGUUAAGCCUGGCUGUUCCGUGUAGCUAAAGGUGUAAUUAACAAAGGGGUGUGAGAUCAGAGGACACAACCUUGUUCCUCUCAAUUCCUUGCAAACUGAGAGAAAAACCAGACUGCAUCUCAGCUGAGCAUUUAGCGUUGAGAAGACUGAGGGGAGAUAUGGUAGCACUCUUUAAGUACUUGAAAGGUUGUCACACAGAGGAUGGCCAGGAUCUCUUCUUGAUCAUCCCAGAGUGCAGGACAUGGAAUUAUGGGGUCAAGUUACAGGAAGUCGGAUUUCAACUGAACAUCUGGAAAAAUCUCCUAACUGUUAGAGUGGUAUGACAAUGGAACCAAUUACCUCGGGAGGUGGUGGGCUCUGCAACACUGGAGAAGUUCAAGAGGCAGCUGGACAGGCACCUGUCGGGUAUGCUUUGGCUUCGAUUCCUGCAAGGAGCAGGGAGUUGGACUCAGUCUCAACAGGCUAAACAUUCUUUCAGUCUCUCAUCAUAGGCUUUGUUUCCAAUCUCCUAACCAUCCUUGUUGCCCUUCUCUGGACUUGUUCCAGCUUGUCUGCAUCCUUCUUAAAGUGCUGUGUCCAGAACUGGAUGUAGUACUCAAGACGAGGCCUAACCAGUUCCGAACAGAUGGGAAACAAUACUUCACGUGAUUUGGAAACUCUACUUCUGUUAAUGCAGCCUAAAAUAGCACUUGAUCACACUGUUGGCUCAUAUUCAGCUUGUGAUCAACAACAAUUCCAAGAUCCUUUUUGCAUGUAGUAUUGCUGAACCAAGUAUCACCCAUCUUAUAACUGUGCACUUGGUUUCUUUUUCAUAGUUGUAGAACUUUGCACUUGUCCCUGUGAAAUGGAGGGAGGGAGAGAUCCAUUCUCACCUCUGCCCAUCACUCUCUGUAAACAAGAACAGAAAAUCUGCCUCCCCUCACUCUCUUUGGUUGUUUAAAGUGCCAACAUUGGGAGAAACAGCAAGAUUAUGAUUUCCAGGGGGUGGAGUUUGGAGGGAUGAAUGUUCCACCAAUAGGAGUCGGAACGGGCAGAGGAAUGGGGAAACUGGGCACAGGCAGUGAGCCGC